AGCAGCCGCGGUAAUACGGAGGGGGCUAGCGUUAUCCGGAGUUACUGGGCGUAAAGGGUGCGUAGGCGGUCUUUCAAGUCAGGAGUGAAAGGCUACGGCUCAACCGUAGUAAGCUCUUGAAACUGGGGGACUUGAGUGCAGGAGAGGAGAGUGGAAUUCCUAGUGUAGCGGUGAAAUGCGUAGAUAUUAGGAGGAACACCAGUUGCGAAGGCGGCUC
RNAcentral lists this ribosomal RNA (217 nucleotides) under Clostridioides difficile. RNAcentral describes it as "partial 16S ribosomal RNA". It matches the Rfam family "Bacterial small subunit ribosomal RNA", at positions 510 to 727 of the family's 1533-position model. Lineage: Bacteria; Bacillati; Bacillota; Clostridia; Peptostreptococcales; Peptostreptococcaceae. The record is from RNAcentral.